This 1430-nucleotide ribosomal RNA is filed under the name uncultured organism. Its description in RNAcentral is "16S ribosomal RNA". It matches the Rfam family "Bacterial small subunit ribosomal RNA". The record is from RNAcentral.
GCGUGCUUAACACAUGCAAGUCGAACGGAAAGGCCCUGCUUUUGUGGGGUGCUCGAGUGGCGAACGGGUGAGUAACACGUGAGUAACCUGCCCUUGACUUUGGGAUAACUUCAGGAAACUGGGGCUAAUACCGGAUAGGAGCUCCUGCUGCAUGGUGGGGGUUGGAAAGUUUCGGCGGUUGGGGAUGGACUCGCGGCUUAUCAGCUUGUUGGUGGGGUAGUGGCUUACCAAGGCUUUGACGGGUAGCCGGCCUGAGAGGGUGACCGGCCACAUUGGGACUGAGAUACGGCCCAGACUCCUACGGGAGGCAGCAGUGGGGAAUAUUGCACAAUGGGCGGAAGCCUGAUGCAGCAACGCCGCGUGCGGGAUGACGGCCUUCGGGUUGUAAACCGCUUUCGCCUGUGACGAAGCGUGAGUGACGGUAAUGGGUAAAGAAGCACCGGCUAACUACGUGCCAGCAGCCGCGGUGAUACGUAGGGUGCGAGCGUUGUCCGGAUUUAUUGGGCGUAAAGGGCUCGUAGGUGGUUGAUCGCGUCGGAAGUGUAAUCUUGGGGCUUAACCCUGAGCGUGCUUUCGAUACGGGUUGACUUGAGGAAGGUAGGGGAGAAUGGAAUUCCUGGUGGAGCGGUGGAAUGCGCAGAUAUCAGGAGGAACACCAGUGGCGAAGGCGGUUCUCUGGGCCUUUCCUGACGCUGAGAAGCGAAAGCGUGGGGAGCGAACAGGCUUAGAUACCCUGGUAGUCCACGCUGUAAACGGUGGGUACUAGGUGUGGGGUCCAUUCCACGGGUUCCGUGCCGUAGCUAACGCUUUAAGUACCCCGCCUGGGGAGUACGGCCGCAAGGCUAAAACUCAAAGGAAUUGACGGGGCCCCGCACAAGCGGCGGAGCAUGCGGAUUAAUUCGAUGCAACGCGUAGAACCUUACCUGGGUUUGACAUGGAUCGGGAGUGCUCAGAGAUGGGUGUGCCUCUUUUGGGGUCGGUUCACAGGUGGUGCAUGGCUGUCGUCAGCUCGUGUCGUGAGAUGUUGGGUUAAGUCCCGCAACGAGCGCAACCCUUGUUCACUGUUGCCAGCACGUUAUGGUGGGGACUCAGUGGAGACCGCCGGGGUCAACUCGGAGGAAGGUGGGGAUGACGUCAAGUCAUCAUGCCCCUUAUGUCCAGGGCUUCACGCAUGCUACAAUGGCUGGUACAGAGAGUGGCGAGCCUGUGAGGGUGAGCGAAUCUCGGAAAGCCGGUCUCAGUUCGGAUUGGGGUCUGCAACUCGACCUCAUGAAGUCGGAGUCGCUAGUAAUCGCAGAUCAGCAACGCUGCGGUGAAUACGUUCCCGGGGCUUGUACACACCGCCCGUCAAGUCAUGAAAGUUGGUAACACCCGAAGCCGGUGGCCUAACCGUUGUGGGGGAGCCGUCGAAGGUGGGACUGGUGAUUAGG